RNAcentral lists this long non-coding RNA (2795 nucleotides) under Coffea arabica (coffee). Its description in RNAcentral is "long non-coding RNA (CARA_LNC001772)". Lineage: Eukaryota; Viridiplantae; Streptophyta; Magnoliopsida; Gentianales; Rubiaceae. The record is from RNAcentral.
AGAGUCCAGAGUUUUGGUUUAUAGGAUAUACCAAAUUGAUGAGGGGCAAAAGGAAAGAGAGAAGUUCCACACACACGAGUGCGGACAGGUCAGAGUUGAUUUGCCUAAUUGCUGAAGUCUUCUUUAUUUGGUUGAUGAUUUACGUUCGUUAACACAAGAAUUGGUUACAAACAAGACCAUAUUUCUAGACCUAAUCGGUAACUUAAAAAUUUAAAGCAAGAUUUAUAGGAUCGAUAUUAUCACAAGAAUUCUUUUUUGCUAUUAAGAGAUAUGACAACGGAACAAACUGUUAGAGAUCAAGGGUACAAGUGGAACAUAUGCUAUAGAAGGCAUAUGGUGUUCAAUUAUUUCCUACUUUCCCUGGCUGAUACAAUUUGCUCUCGCUGAUUUUGUUUGACUGAAUUCCUACCUUAGCAUGGAAUGCUCAUAUCAUCUCUUACAACUGUCACCAUAAUACCCAGAUUUCACUCCCCAAAAUAUGAUUGCCAAAAUUGGAAUUGGUAUAAGUGGGGAGGUAUUCUUUACAAUUGUAUGAAGAAGUUGAGUACCGAAGUGCAAAUUGCCUUGAUAUAUAUCUUCUCCACCGCUUGGAGCUCCUAUGUAUCGAUUUUGUGCUCUCAUUUUGUAGAAAGAAACAAAGGGAAGAACAGAACAGCUUCAGGAGGAGAAACUAAGGGUCCAAAUCCACCAGAGUCCAAUUGAUUUAAGGUAACUAAUGUAUAGAAUUGAAUUUUAUGAGCUGAACUUGAUAGGAUUUGGUGAUCUUUUAUGAACCAAAUUUGAGUUGAUAACUUCUAGCCGGGAAAAUUGAAGUUGGACAGCUAUAAACCAAUUUUGUGGCUAUGAUUUCUUGCAUAUGUUGCUAUUAACUUGUAACCAAACAUCUGAUGUGGGUAGAUGUAUGAAACUGAAGAGAUUUUAGAUGGUAAUGGCCAAGAAACCUUGAGUUCUAACUAACCCCAAGGUUGACAGUCACCUUUGCGCAGCUUUAGUAAAUUGGCCAUAACUUGAGAUGGAAAACUCGAAAUUGGGUAACGUCAAUUGCAUUAGAAACUAGACUUAGAGAUCUUUCCAGCGGUAUAAAAAUCAAGCUCUGGUUCAUUGCCUACUAAACCAGAAAAUUUGCAAAUUUCAUUGGAAAUCAGAACCUGCGCAGUUAGAGACUGGAAAUUGCACUUGCUUGUGGCCCAACUUAGAACCGUCUAUUGAUUGAUUCGCUAAAUGAUCCCUUGUAGAUAUAUUUAGUAUUUCAAUUGUGGGUUCUAAUGCCUCCAAUUUUGUGGUGAUUUGACAUAUAUAUCCAGAGUUAUGCAUGUUUAAUUGACAACUGCAUUUGCUGAAAUUUCCACCCUGCACAACAUAAGAACUUGAAAGUGUACCAAAUUGUGACUGAAUUUAGAUAAGCUUAUGAUCUAAAUCUCUCAAUAGUUUCUUCUAAAGAUAGUUAGAGCCUUGUUUCUAGUUUAUAAGAGUGUGAAACUUAGAAUUUUCUGAAGUAUACAGCCCAUGUUACGCAUGUUUAAUUGAACUUUGUCCAUGCUGAAAAUGAUAGAGAGCAGUGUAGCUCUAUAGUCGACUUAAGUAUAAUGGCAUAACUCUUGAGACGAUAUACGUUCUUGAUUACUGCUAGGAGUUUCAACAGAUGGUUAUUAUUCUGAUUUUAUUGUUUUAGGGGAAGGAUAAAGAGAAUUUGUGUGACACUCUCUUGAUUAACGAGUAACUGGCUCUUUCAUAUCUCUAUAAUUUUUAAAAUGUCUUUAAAAAUUUUUUAUUUGUCACUUGUUAUAGAAAAUAUAUUUUGUUAUACUAAAUUGGAUUGAGCAUGUGUAAUUUUUUGACAACUAUGUGCAUAUGAAUAACUAUAUUACUUGUUUAAAAGUGAUUGUUAUGCAAUAUUUUGGAUAUCAUUGGACGUGCUUAAAUAAGUAAAUGACACGAAAAGGCUCUAAAAUUGUUAUAUUUGAAUACUGGUAGCCCUUUCACAGGAUAUAAUAGUGGACAAAUGACUCUAUUACGGGAAAAAAGAGUGACCGUAGUAAUUAUCUAGAACUAUAUUUUUAACCGGUAUGUGGCCCUACCACGGAAAAUAAUAGUGGUAUUUCAUAGUCUUGUCAUGAAAUAUAAUGGUGACCGUGGCAUAUUUUUGAGCUAAACGCAAAAUGAAAAGAUACAACAUUCCAUGGAUUAUAAUUAAAGAACUAUGAAUCUAUGCACAGUUAUGCAUUGUAUAUGCAAGAUGCAUGCACUGUUUUAAUUGUGAUUGAAUUCCAAGAAAUAAUUUUAUUAAAUGUUAUUUAUAAUAUUAAUAUACUCAAUCUAUUAAAGAUACAUUUGAGCUACUUAUUGAGUAAAUUGAUGAUCACCCCACCUAAUUUUUUCUGUCCUGCAGAUGAGGAUCAAAUGCAUGAUCGAUUGAAGACUAGUUUGAUCAUAGUAUGUUUCUAGCGUUGAAUUUUGCAAAAAUGUAGCUUGUAUGACUUUUGUACCCUAGUAAUGCAUGUAUGUCAAGAGUUUAAUGUGAAAAAUUGUACAAAUGACUUUUUAUGUUUGAAACUUUGGUAAACACAUUUAGGUGGCGUUUGGUUCGCACAUCGGAAUCGCAUUCGGAUUCGGAAUCGGAUAUCCUGGGUUUGGAAUGAGGUCAUUCAUUCCAAUAUAUUUGUUUGGUUCAAGUACCUGGAAUGUGUAUCAUUACUAUAGUUGAUGUUUGGUUCGUCGACUCUUUCGGAAUGGAAUAUAAUAAAUAUAUUAUAAACCACAUCGUAAAUGAUAAUUAUUGGCUCUUUGUAAAUGAG